AAAAAGAUAAACCCUGAGUUUCCGUGCCAACGUUUGACUGUCCAUCUUAUAUAAAUUUUUUUUUAUAAUUAGUAUUUUCAUUGUUGUUAGAUGAUAAAACAUGAUUAAUACUUUAUACGUGACUUAUUUUUUUUUAUAAUUUUUUCAAAUAAGACGGAUGGUCAAACGUUGAACACGGAAGUCAGGAUUUGUCUUUUU
Molecule: non-coding RNA, 198 nt
Organism: Oryza nivara
Lineage: Eukaryota; Viridiplantae; Streptophyta; Magnoliopsida; Poales; Poaceae
Source: Rfam